CAGCCGCCGCGGUAAUACAGAGGGUGCAAGCGUUAAUCGGAUUUACUGGGCGUAAAGGGCGCGUAGGUGGUUAUGUAAGUGAGAUGUGAAAUCCCCGGGCUCAACCUGGGAACUGCAUCUUAUACUGCGUAGCUGGAGUGCAGUAGAGGGUAGUGGAAUUUCCGGUGUAGCGGUGAAAUGCGUAGAUAUCGGAAGGAACACCAGUGGCGAAGGCGGCUACCUGGACUGACACUGACACUGAGGCGCGAAAGCGUGGGGAGCAAACAGGAUUAGAUACCCCCGUAGUCCCUGUCUCUUAUAA
Molecule: ribosomal RNA, 301 nt
Filed under: uncultured bacterium
Lineage: Bacteria
Description: partial 16S ribosomal RNA
Rfam family: Bacterial small subunit ribosomal RNA
Source: RNAcentral